This 486-nucleotide ribosomal RNA is filed under the name uncultured bacterium. RNAcentral describes it as "partial 16S ribosomal RNA". It matches the Rfam family "Bacterial small subunit ribosomal RNA", at positions 28 to 507 of the family's 1533-position model. The record is from RNAcentral.
GACGAACGCUGGCGGCGUGCUUAACACAUGCAAGUCGAACGCUGAAGACCUGGCUUUUGUUGGGUUGGAUGAGUGGCGAACGGGUGAGUAACACGUGAGUAACCUGCCCUCUUCUUUGGGAUAACGCCCGGAAACGGGUGCUAAUACUGGAUAUUCACUGGCCUUCGCAUGGGGGUUGGUGGAAAGGUUUGUUCUGGUGGGGGAUGGGCUCGCGGCCUAUCAGCUUGUUGGUGGGGUGAUGGCCUACCAAGGCUUUGACGGGUAGCCGGCCUGAGAGGGUGACCGGUCACAUUGGGACUGAGAUACGGCCCAGAAUCCUACGGGAGGCAGCAGUGGGGAAUAUUGCACAAUGGGCGAAAGCCUGAUGCAGCGACGCCGCGUGAGGGAUGGAGGCCUUCGGGUUGUAAACCUCUUUCGCUCAUGGUCAAGCCGCAACUGUGGGUUGUGGUGAGGGUAGUGGGUAAAGAAGCGCCGGCUAACUACGUG